AAAUUACCAAUAGAACGUAAAAAUUGCACUCGUGCAGCACGAGUUUUGCCAAUCGAAAACGCUAUUAUUUAACAAUUUUAACCUAAAAAAAAUCAAAGUACACCAUGGAUGAGAAAAUUUAUCCACCCCCCUUAUUCAACGACGGCACCAACAGCACCAUUGGGUUUUGAUUCACAACAUCAACAAAUUCCCCUAUACCCCAUGAAUCAAGGGUUACAACAACCACCUUUCCAACAGUACGACAACCGCGGGCAGCCACCACCUUUAAAUGCAUAUAACGCUGUACCUACUGUGCCAGUUACCUACUUUGCACAACCCCAACAGACAAUUGUAGCAUUAAAUUCUACUCCACGAGCCUACCAACCGAUACCAAGAUUUGGAAUUACAAAUCGUAAGCACCAGUACAUCGCCCUGGGUAUAUUCGGAGGAAUAUUUCUGGUUAUGGUGAUUAUUGGAAUAGUAAUAGGUGUCGUUGUAUCACGAGAUAUUAGCGAAUCUAAUAGGAGACAUGAAGAAUUUAGAAAAAAACUUUCCCUAAGCUAAAACACCUGUUUCCGGUUACUUACAUUUUACCUCAAUGAUAUUUAUAUAGGUACUCAAUGUUGCAUUUCAAUUUGAUGAUUACCUUAAUUAUGAUCUGCUGCUAGAAAUUAAUAUCGGCUAUUGUAUGCUAAGUGUUAAUAACGAUUGUGUUCUAUGUGUGCUUCUUUUCUAUGGUGGACAAACUUCUUUUUUCCACAACUGCUUUGAAAAUGCACAAAAAGAAACGUGAAAUGGCUUUGAAGGUUGCACUUUACACACAUGUAUCAAUAGCCUUCAUAUUCAUAUAAUUUGUACCACUAAACCAUCAUACCUGUGUGAAAACUGCGCUUUUCCAAACUUGCACAUAUAACAUUUUAAUUUUGAAUGUGAUACUGGUAUUGGUUGUAUUUGCCUACAUCAAAUUUUGGUUGAUGGUUGACACAAUGAUUGUAUGUACCUAUAUGUCAUUAUCAAAAUAUUUAGAUUAUUCAAAAAGUACCAUCUUCUAUAUAAAACAACCGUGGCCUUGAGUUAUUUCUAACACCGAGGCCUAAAUGUGUCAGUAGUAAAAGAGACAUUGAAAAUAUACCUAAUGCAGUUUUACUAUUUUUGUAUGUUACUUUACAAAUAAAUAAAUGUGCCUU
This is a long non-coding RNA of Photinus pyralis (common eastern firefly), 1166 nucleotides long. RefSeq lists it as uncharacterized. NCBI's taxonomy places the organism in Eukaryota, Metazoa, Arthropoda, Insecta, Coleoptera, Lampyridae. The record is from RefSeq and is a predicted model, not a curated record. The transcript is spliced from 2 exons.